UUGCCUUAGUAACGGCGAGUGAAGCGGCAACAGCUCAAAUUUGAAAGCUGGCCCCCUCGGGGUCCGCGUUGUAAUUUGUAGAGGAUGAUUCGGCGACGGCUCCCGCCUAAGUCCCUUGGAACAGGGCGUCAUAGAGGGUGAGAAUCCCGUAUGUGGUGGGCUGCCUUAGCCAUGUGAAUCUCCUUCGACGAGUCGAGUUGUUUGGGAAUGCAGCUCUAAAUGGGAGGUAAAUUUCUUCUAAAGCUAAAUACCGGCCAGAGACCGAUAGCGCACAAGUAGAGUGAUCGAAAGAUGAAAAGCACUUUGGAAAGAGAGUUAAAAAGUACGUGAAAUUGUUGAAAGGGAAGCGCUUGCAGCCAGACUUGUCCGCAGUUGCUCAGCCUGUCUCCUGACAGGCGUACUCUUCUGCGGCCAGGCCAGCAUCAGUUCGGGCGGUCGGAUAAAGACCUGGGGAAUGUAGCUCCUCUCGGGGAGUGUUAUAGCCCCGGGUGCAAUGCGGCCAGCCCGGACUGAGGAUCUCGCUUCGGCUAGGAUGCUGGCGUAAUGGCUGUAAGCGGCCCGUCUUGAAACACGGACCAAGGAGUCUAACAUCUAUGCGAGUGUUUGGGUGUCAAACCCAUGCGCGUAAUGAAAGUGAACGGAGGUGGGAACCCUCACGGGUGCACCAUCGACCGAUCCUGAUGUCUUCGGAUGGAUUUGAGUAAGAGCAUAGCUGUUGGGGACCCGAAAGAUGGUGAACUAUGCCUGAAUAGGGUGAAGCCAGAGGAAACUCUGGUGGAGGCUCGCAGCGGUUCUGACGUGCAAAUCGAUCGUCAAAUUUGGGUAUAGGGGCGAAAGACUAAUCGAACCAU
This 851-nucleotide ribosomal RNA is filed under the name Neofusicoccum hamamelidis. Its description in RNAcentral is "eukaryotic LSU rRNA". It matches the Rfam family "Eukaryotic large subunit ribosomal RNA", at positions 75 to 943 of the family's 3401-position model. Lineage: Eukaryota; Fungi; Ascomycota; Dothideomycetes; Botryosphaeriales; Botryosphaeriaceae. The record is from RNAcentral.